This 496-nucleotide ribosomal RNA is filed under the name uncultured bacterium. Its description in RNAcentral is "partial 16S ribosomal RNA". It matches the Rfam family "Bacterial small subunit ribosomal RNA", at positions 29 to 507 of the family's 1533-position model. The record is from RNAcentral.
AUGAACGCUGGCGGCGUGCCUAAUCCAUGCCAGUCGAGCGCACAGACGAGGAGCUUGCUCCUCUGACGUUAGCGGCGGACGGGUGAGUAACACGUGGAUAACCUACCUAUAAGACUGGGAUAACUUCGGGAAACCGGAGCUAAUACCGGAUAAUAUAUUGAACCGCAUGGUUCAAUAGUGAAAGACGGUUUUGCUGUCACUUAUAGAUGGAUCCGCGCCGCAUUAGCUAGUUGGUAAGGUAACGGCUUACCAAGGCAACGAUGCGUAGCCGACCUGAGAGGGUGAUCGGCCACACUGGAACUGAGACACGGUCCAGACUCCUACGGGAGGCAGCAGUAGGGAAUCUUCCGCAAUGGGCGAAAGCCUGACGGAGCAACGCCGCGUGAGUGAUGAAGGUCUUCGGAUCGUAAAACUCUGUUAUUAGGGAAGAACAAAUGUGUAAGUAACUAUGCACGUCUUGACGGUACCUAAUCAGAAAGCCACGGCUAACUACGUG